RNAcentral lists this ribosomal RNA (492 nucleotides) under uncultured bacterium. RNAcentral describes it as "partial 16S ribosomal RNA". It matches the Rfam family "Bacterial small subunit ribosomal RNA", at positions 29 to 507 of the family's 1533-position model. The record is from RNAcentral.
AGUGAACGCUGGCGGUAGGCCUAACACAUGCAAGUCGAACGGCAGCACAGUAAGAGCUUGCUCUUACGGGUGGCGAGUGGCGGACGGGUGAUGGAUACAUCGGAAUCUACUUUUUCGGGGGGGAUAACGUAGGGAACCUUACGCUAAUACCGCAUACGACCUACGGGUUAAAGCAGGGGAGCUUCGGACCUUGCGCGAUUGAAUGAGCCGAUGUCGGAUGAGCUAGUUGGCGGGGUAAAGGCCCACCAAGGCGACGAUCCGUAGCUGGUCUGAGAGGAUGAAUCGACACAUGGGAACUGAGACACGGCACAGACUCCUACGGGAGGACGCAGUGGGGAAUAUUGGACAAUGGGGGAAAGGCUGAUCCAGCCAUACCGCGUGGGUGAAGAAGGCCUUAGGGUUGUAAAGCCCUUUUGUUGGGAAAGAAAAGCAGCAGGUUAAUACCCCGCUGUUCUGACGGUACCAAAAGAAUAAGCACCGGCUAACUUCGUG